UACGGAGGGGGCUAGCGUUGUUCGGAAUUCUGGGCGUAAAGCGCACGUAGGCGGCUUUGUAAGUUAGAGGUGAAAGCCCAGGGCUUAACCCUGGAAUUGCCUUUAAGACUGCAUCGCUAGAAUCGUGGAGAGGUAAGUGGAAUUCCGAGUGUAGAGGUGAAAUUCGUAGAUAUUCGGAAGAACACCAGUGGCGAAGGCGACUUACUGGACACGUAUUGACGCUGAGGUGCGAAAGCGUGGGGAGCAAACAGG
This 252-nucleotide ribosomal RNA is filed under the name uncultured bacterium. RNAcentral describes it as "partial 16S ribosomal RNA". It matches the Rfam family "Bacterial small subunit ribosomal RNA", at positions 524 to 776 of the family's 1533-position model. The record is from RNAcentral.